CACCUGUCAUUCCCAACCUUGUUUCAGUUAUCCCCACCUGGUACCAAUUAAUUUCCUUGUUAAGCCCUAAUCACACCACAUGAUCUUUUCUAACUACAUUUCUAACUUAACCCCUUAAUUCCUUUGAGCUCUUAAUUAAAGUAUAUACAGUUUUCACUAUCAUAGGUGCACUCCUAGCUCAACACCUUGACUCAGCCUCUCUGAUUUUUAAACUGCAGCAGCACUUGCCACAAGUCUGAGCAGCAAGAAUAAAAAGCCAUCCUAGCAAAGGAAGGGAUUUCAGCUGUGCCACACAGGAUCUCAGGGCAGCAGUGCUGUGAGAACAAGCACAGCCAAACCCUUCUGCAGUCUCCUCAAGCCUCCUGUGUCUCCAGUGCUUCCAGCCCUUGCCUACAUGAGGACAGAGCCUUUCCCUUUUUGUUCUGUAGCAUGCUCGGGGCUGUGCAGAAAUGUCACCUCACGCAAGCAAAGGGAAAAGAAAAAUAAGCCAACUGAAAUUCUGAUGAUGACAAUUUUUGCAAGCUGCAAGGAAAUGAUGAUCCUUUACCUCGAACUGUCAGAUGCAUCUUCCCAAAUCCCUCAUUGCUCUGUAAUGUAUUACCAUAGCAACUCGUCUCUGCAGUGAUCUAGAGCUCCCCAUGGGCAGCCUGCACUUUGUCAGCGCUGCCACUCCUCUGUGAUGCAAGGAACACUGAGCACUUAAAUACCAAAUCAUUAAAGCAAUGUUUCCCCAGUGGCCACACUGAAUCACACAA
Molecule: long non-coding RNA, 755 nt
Organism: Passer domesticus (house sparrow)
Lineage: Eukaryota; Metazoa; Chordata; Aves; Passeriformes; Passeridae
Exons: 2
Source: RefSeq, a predicted model, not a curated record